Molecule: ribosomal RNA, 484 nt
Filed under: uncultured bacterium
Lineage: Bacteria
Description: partial 16S ribosomal RNA
Rfam family: Bacterial small subunit ribosomal RNA
Source: RNAcentral
AUUGAACGCUGGCGGCAGGCCUAACACAUGCAAGUCGAGCGGAUGAGGGGAGCUUGCUCCCUGAUUUAGCGGCGGACGGGUGAGUAAUGCCUAGGAAUCUGCCUGGUAUUGGGGGAUAACGUUCCGAAAGGAACGCUAAUACCGCAUACGUCCUACGGGAGAAAGCCGGGGACCUUCGGGCCUUGCGCUAUCAGAUGAGCCUAGGUCGGAUUAGCUAGUUGGUGAGGUAAUGGCUCACCAAGGCGACGAUCCGUAACUGGUCUGAGAGGGUGAUCAGUCACACUGGAACUGAGACACGGUCCAGACUCCUACGGGAGGCAGCAGUGGGGAAUAUUGGACAAUGGGCGAAAGCCUGAUCCAGCCAUGCCGCGUGUGUGAAGAAGGUCUUCGGAUUGUAAAGCACUUUAAGUUGGGAGGAAGGGCUGCUGGUUAAUACCCUGCCGUUUUGACGUUACCAACAGAAUAAGCACCGGCUAACUUCGUG